This 253-nucleotide ribosomal RNA is filed under the name uncultured bacterium. RNAcentral's name for it is "partial 16S ribosomal RNA". It matches the Rfam family "Bacterial small subunit ribosomal RNA", at positions 524 to 776 of the family's 1533-position model. The record is from RNAcentral.
AACGUAGGAGACAAACGUUAUCCGGAGUUACUGGGCGUAAAGGGCGUGUAGGCGGUUACGCAAGUCUGGCGUGAAAUUUCUCGGCUUAACCGAGGCAGGUCGUCGGAUACUGCGAGACUAGAGGACGGUAGAGACGUGUGGAAUUCCGGGUGUAGUGGUGAAAUGCGUAGAGAUCCGGAGGAACACCAGUGGCGAAGGCGAGUUUCUGGACAGGUACUGACGCUGAGGCACGAAGGCCAGGGGAGCAAACGGG